Salmo salar (Atlantic salmon) is the source of this 573-nucleotide long non-coding RNA. RefSeq lists it as uncharacterized. The record is from RefSeq and is a predicted model, not a curated record. Lineage: Eukaryota; Metazoa; Chordata; Actinopteri; Salmoniformes; Salmonidae.
UUUUCCCCGGAUUAAUCCAGAUGGCCGCGUCCUUGUGAUUUACGAUACAUGUACAGUCAAGCUCCCCCAAAAAAUUAAACAUGCAAAUAAAAGAAGUAAUAAAGUGGAAUGUACGGGUGUCUAUGCUGUAUGCUUUGGGAAUAUGGACAAUGCUUGGCACAUACGGAUAUUAUCAGUACAUGGGGCGCAAUGAAGAAAAGCCUGUCAAAGAGAAGGAGGAACUACCUCCAAAUCCUAGAGAAGUGACUAUCCAGAGUGCACACAUGAAAACCACCAUCGUCUACAAGGAAAACUUUGUUCCUUAUUCUACAAGGGUCUACAAUUUUGUCAGCUCGCUCAGUCGGGACUCUGCAUCUGCUGACAGCCAAGACAAUACAAAGUAAUGGUGAAAAAGUGAAAGCUGACGUGAACUGAUGCCAUUGCCUGCCUAGGCUACCACAUUUGAGAUGUGUGAAGCAAAAUACUUAGGAAUUAACACUGUAAAUUGUCCAUUGAAUAUAUCUCUGUGUAAAAUACACUGACUGAAAUUAUUUGUCACUUGUACAAUGAAUUGAAAUAAAACAGUAUCCCUCA